RNAcentral lists this long non-coding RNA (23343 nucleotides) under Malus domestica (apple). Its description in RNAcentral is "long non-coding RNA (MDOM_LNC008869)". Lineage: Eukaryota; Viridiplantae; Streptophyta; Magnoliopsida; Rosales; Rosaceae. The record is from RNAcentral.
GAUAGUGGGUUUUUUUUCAUUAAAGGAGCAUUGUAGCUCCGUGUGCUUUGAAAAAAAGCCAGUUUUCCAAAGCUGCAAAUAGCAGCUUCAGCUUUUUCCUUUGAUUUCAGCUUAUUCUCGCAGCAGCUUCCAAAAUAAGCCAUUUUUUUUCAGUUUACCAAACACCUAAAACCCUUACAGCUUUUUUUCAUGGGUAUUUUUUUUUUAAGCACCUCACUCCCAAACCACCCCUAACUCAUUCUACUUUUCCUCCCUCGCUCGCUUGUUUUCCAGUACACCAUUUUCAAAAGAGAAAACAUGACCCAGCCCUGGUUCUUCUUUAGAAGACGUAAAAAUUGAGUAGUCUUUCGUUUGAAAUUUCCAGGUAACUUUUUACGGGACGAUCUCGAGAUUCUUUGCCGUUCGCACAGAGAGGAGAUUUGUCAAAGGAUUCGUGAACUCGACAAUUCUGACCCAGACACAUUGGUUUGGCCAAUCUUGUUUAAAACCAAUGGAGAGGUAAAUUUCAGUCUUUAUUUUACAUAUUAGGGGUUUGAUUUUCAAAUUUUUAAUAUUUCUUAUUCUGGGUGGGUUUUGUUUUCAGGAAACAGUGGAGGGUUCUGUUCAAGGACAACCACUGAAGAUAGAAGCCUGCGAGGAAGUACACCGGAAAGAAGAUGUUUCUGGUAAGUUUUUAUUUCUGUUUGUAAAUCUUGUUUUUUAUUUUAUUUAUAAUUUUCUUUUUAUUUGUAUUUUUUUUUAAUUUAGGGAUCUUGAUAAAAUUUUGUAAAUUCUCUUUCUUUAGUUUAAUUUUUUUGUUUCUGCUCUUUGUAAUCGUUAAUUUUGUAAAUUCUGUUUGUUUUCUUUAAUUGAGGUGGGUAUUCUUGAGAAAAUUGUUGUAAAGAUUUUGAAUUUCUGAUAAAUCAUUGAGAUUCAAUCUUGAUUCCCUGAAUUAGCGGUAUAGAUUUUGAAUUUCUGAAAUAGUUGUAUAGAUUGAUUUCUGAAAUAAUUUCAGUUGGGGUACCCUGAUUCUUACACAAUGUAACCGUAUCCUUUCACUCUUUAGCCACAAACACAUUCUAAGGAUCGAUCACGAUAACAACACAAAUAGCAUUAUUGAAUCUUCCUCAACAAACCAACCAAUUGAAUCUUCAAAUUUACAACACAAUUAGAUCAAUAACUUGAGCUGUAAAUGCAUACAUAAUCCUCUCUUACUUUCUCACUAGCUAAUACUAUAAACAAAAUCCAAAAGCAAAUCCAAUACUCAACAAUUUAUCAUAGAACAACAAUUGAUACGACUAUUUUAGGUAAACACAAUUGAAGAAACAAAAUAAUUUACACCAGAAACCAAGUUACUACUGUUAAAGCAAAUCCAAAGCCCCAACAGAAAUUCACAAUCUAUACCACCAAUUCAAUGAAUCAAGAUUGAAUCUCAACCUUUAAUUGUGAAUUUCUGUUGGGGCUUUGGAAAAUUAAACUAAAGAAAGAGAAUUUACAAAAUUUUAUCAAGAUCCCUAAAUUAAAAAAAAAUACAAAUAAAAAGAAAAUUAUAAAUAAAAUAAAAAACAAGAUUUACAAACAGAAAUAAAAACUUACCAGAAACAUCUUCUUUCCGGUGUACUUCCUCGCAGGCUUCUAUCUUCAGUGGUUGUCCUUGAACAGAACCCUCCACUGUUUCCUGAAAACAAAACCCACCCAGAAUAAGAAAUAUUAAAAAUUUGAAAAUCAAACCCCUAAUAUGUAAAAUAAAGACUGAAAUUUACCUCUCCAUUGGUUUUAAACAAGAUUGGCCAAACCAAUGUGUCUGGGUCAGAAUUGUCGAGUUCACGAAUCCUUUGACAAAUCUCCUCUCUGUGCGAACGGCAAAGAAUCUCGAGAUCGUCCCGUAAAAGUUACCUGGAAAUUUCAAACGAAGACUACUCAAUUUUACGUCUUCUAAAGAAGACCAGGGCUGGGUCAUGUUUUCUCUUUUGAAAAUGGUGUACUGGAAAACAAGCGAGCGAGGGAGGAAAAGUAGAAUGAGUUAGGGGUGGUUUGGGAGUGAGGUGCUUAAAAAAAAAUACCCAUGAAAAAAAGCUGUAAGGGUUUUAGGUGUUUGGUAAACUGAAAAAAAAUGGCUUAUUUUGGAAGCUGCUGCGAGAAUAAGCUGAAAUCAAAGGAAAAAGCUGAAGCUGCUAUUUGCAGCUUUGGAAAACUGGCUUUUUUUCAAAGCACACGGAGCUACAAUGCUCCUUUAAUGAAAAAACCCACUAUCAGACUGCUUUUUUUUUCAAAAGCACUUUUACAAAAAAGUUUACCAAACACUCUGCUGAUUCACAGCACAGCCGCUUAUUCUCACAGCAGCUUUUUUUCAAAGCACAGCAAUACCAAACCAGCCCUUAGAGAGAGAAAUUAGAGAGAGGAGCGCAGAGAGGGAGUAAAAGUAGAGUGAGAGUGAGUUGAGAGAGAUAUUAAUGGCCUGAUUGGCAUCUGACUUGAAAACGAAAUUCAAAAUUUUAAUUUUUCUAAAAACACAUGUUUUGAUUUAAAAAUUUUAAAUUCAAAACCUUGUUUGGUAUGCAAUUUCUCAAAACUAAUACAAACAGAAAAAGUCAAACGCCCAGCCCAAGCAAUUACCUGACCACCGCAUCCCUCACUUCCCUAGCGGCGACUCCUUUGGCUAUACCAACUCCAAACUUGCGCUGACAGAGGCUAAUCAUGUUAGCAGUCUCAAACCUGAGAUCCAACGACCAUAUGGAAGAUGUGGUGGCUAUGGUGGAUGCAAGUGAGAAGAGAUAAGAUUGAAGAGGCGGGAGAGAUCGAAUUGUCUUGGCUGGAGGCAGAAGGAUAGAGGUGGUGGCUAUGGUGGAUAUAAGCGGGAAGGGAUUGGAAAUGCAAUAGAGAAAAGAGGAUUGAAGAGGCAAGAGGGAAGGGAGUACAUCGAAUGAGAGAGAGGAGAGAGAGGGAGAGAGAGAAGGGGAAUGAUAAUCCAUAAAUUAAAAGGUCUAAAAACACACUUUUUGUGUUUUCAACCAAUAGCCCUUGUUUUCAGAUAUUUUUGAGUAGUGGUUUUGAGAAUUGUAUUCAAAUCCACUACCAAACAAAGACUUUAAAUUUGUGACUCAAAACUUGUUUUUGAGUUAAAAACAUUGGAUCCAAAUCAAAUACCGAACAGACCCUAAAGUAUCUAUUUAAAUAUUUUGAAUUUGGGGAUGGGGGGAGAGACGUGCAUUGCACAUGUGUUUCAGAAAUUGAAAUUUUUAAAACAAUUGUCAGAAUUUAGGCUCAAUUAACAUAUUAUACAGUACCAACUUAACUAAUAUAAAGAGUUCCGACCAAAAAUACAGUAACGAAGAAAACAAACUAGCUGUUUUUACGCGAUCUCAAUUUCGCUUCCGUUCUGGGCAGUGGCUAACACCUGCUAAAGUAAAAAAAAUCGAGAAUCACAUCAACGAAUUGACAAAUAGAAGCCCACUAGCCUCAAUUUUGUGUAAAAAUAACAUUACGUAAGGUAUCGUUUGGUAUGCAGACGGGACGGGACGGAACAGAGAGGGAGCAAAGAUGCCCUCGGAUUGAAACAAGGAGGAAGAAGGAGACGGAGAUGUUAUAAUUUUGUGUUCCACAGAUGUGGAACGAAUCGUUCUAGGGGAUGAGGCGGAAUGAAAAUUCACCCAAAACUCAUCCCGUGGAACAGCGCGUUCCACCUGUUUUAGGCGUACCAAACGUGGGACGAAUCGUGCUAGAUACUACUUUCCUUCUGUUGUUAAUAUCGUUCUGCUGGGCUAGCUGAUUGUCAUUUCGGCACAAGCCUCCAAGAACAGUAGUAUACUUUCCUUCUGUUGUUAAUACCGUUUUGCUGGGCUAGUUGAUUGUCUUUUCGGCACAAGUCUGCAAGAACAAUAGUAUACUUUCCUUCUAUUGUUAGUACCGUUCUGCUAGGCUAGCUAAUUGUCUUUUCAGCACGAGUCUACAGAACAGUAGUAUAGUUUUUGUUUCUUCAUACCAUUACUAAAUUAACUUUUGUUAAGAUUCAAUCUUGUUUUCCUGAAUUCGUUGUAUAGAUUGUGAAUUUCUGAUAAAUCGUUGAGGAUUUGGUUUAUAGAAUGUGUUGUGUUGAUUUCUGAUAAAUUGUUUACUUGGUUGUCUUUCUGUUUCUUGAUGCUAUCACUAAAUCAAAUUUUGUUGAAAUUCAAUCUUUCCCUGAAUUGGUUGUAUAGAUUGUGAAUUUCUGAUAAACUGUUGGGGAUUUGCUUUAACAGUAGUAACUUGGUUUUUGCUGUGAAUUAUUUUGUUUCUUCAAUUGUGUUUACCUAAAAUAGUCGUAUCAAUUGUUGUUCUCUAAUAAAUUGUUGACUAUUGGAUUUUGUUUCUAGUAUUAGCUAGUGAGAAAGUAAGAAAGGAUUAUGUAUGCAUUUACAGCUCAAGUUAUUGAUCUAAUUGUGUUGUAAAUUUGAAGAUUCAAUUGGUUGGUUUGUUGAGGAAGAUUCAGUAGUGUUUUUUGUGUUGCUAUCGUGAUCGAUCCUUAAAAUGGGUUUGUGGCUAAAGAGUGAAAUUGAACUUUGAUGGGGAACUUUGUACCCGAACCGAAAAACCCACCCUAUUUUCCCCUUUUUAUGAGAUUACUAGCUAUGACACAAAGACUAAAAUUACACUUUUCUUCUUCAACUUAGUCCUACUUUUGGCACUACGAUCUAGUUGUAAGUAAGAGGUUUUAAGUUUGAAUUUCAUGGAUGGCGACUCCGCAACCAAUUUAUUCUCCCUCUCUCAUUUUGUUUUCUUUUUAAUUUCACCGCCUUUUGUAUUUUGCCAUGAAUUAGUUGUGCGUCUAAAAGUUUUUGCUGCUCUAAUUGUAUUAUCAUUAGCAUUCAAAGUUGCAAUCUUUUAGUUUUGUUUCGAAUUUCUGUGAUGUUUGCCAUACCAUGUAUUCCUGUACGAAGAACAGGUCUGCUACUUAUAGCUUUCUAUUCGAUUCAUAAAUGGUUCAGUAGCUGUACAUAUGUAUGUAUCCUUUAGACAUUAGUUUCUAUAGUACCAGUAGGCUUUUUCAUCGAAAUAGUUUGCGUGGUUCGAAGGGAUUUUGAUUGAAACAACUGAACUCUAGUGCAUUGCUCGAUUUCCCAGGUAACGAAACUAGUACCAUAAGCCCUUUAUAUAGGAAAAGGAUCAUCUUUGAUCCUUUCCACCUAAUCCAGGCCCUUGAAAUUUAAUUCAACGGCUAAAGUUACUACACAUUUUAAAGGAGCCUCCUAUUUGUAGCCGUUUGAUCAAAUUUCAAAGGUCCGGACUGAUUGAUUGGGUGGAUUUGGUGGAGGGAUCCGGAGAGGAUCCCUUUCCUCUUAUAUAGACAUUAUAAAGGUCUUCUUCAAUAAGGAAUACUAAUAAUGAUUGGAAUCUAGUUAUGAAUCCUUCUUCAAUCCAAAAACUAAACUCCAAUUGGGCAAACAACUCCAAUUGAAAAAACAAUUUAAUCAUCUGAGACUAUAUUUUCCAAUAGCCUUGGGACAACUAAUCAUGGACCCGAAAACUAAACAAUUCUUGCUUAGCAAGAUUUUGUGUGAAAUUCUGACUAGCUUUUUUUAUUCUGAAUGCUUUGAACUUUUAAUGUGACUUGUAGAUUCAACACUUUUAAAUUUUUAAUGCUUUCAAGCCACACUCAUGUUCAUAGGACAUGAAUGCUUUUUCAAAUAAGAAGACGUUUAAUAGUCUCCUUUUCCUUCGUUACUUCAUUUGUUUGUGGUAUUUAAGUCAUCAUGAUUAUUUACAUCAUAAUAUUAUGGGUAAAUUACAUAGUAACCCUUCAGGUUUGAAAUGUAUUACAACUUUAUACAACAUCUUUAAAACAUUUCACUUUUAUACCUCAUGUACUAUUUUAUUUCAAAAUAAUACAUCUGUUACAUUUUUCAUCCAUUGAUCCAUUAAGUGCUGACGUGGCUGUCACAUUUAUGCAACGUGGCUGUCAAACCUGAACCUUGAAAAGAAUAAGAACCCAGAAAACUUGGAACCCCGAUCCCAUUCCCCCCUUCCCCAUAAAUUCAAAAUUCAAAAACUCAAAUGGACCGAUUAAUAUUCCAAAUUUCAAUUCCGUUGUCUUUAAUUUUUUUUAUUUUUCCUUCAAAAUUCCUUGCAAAGCAACGAAAAUUCGUACAAACAAAUAAAAAAAUUGGAUUAAAAACACAAUUGCAAAUUUGUAAUUCCUGGAAAGACUUACCUGGAGGAUUAAUGUGAAAAUCCAACACUUUCUGUAACCAAAAUCUAGCUGCUAACUUGAGUUGCAGGGCGGAGGUGAAAGGCAGCUUCCGCUCUCAAGGAAGAAGGCGCACCAAAUCAAAAACGCCACGUCGUGUCUGCGGGGUUUCUGUUUCUUCGUUUAGAAACCCACUAGAAAAUGCUACCCGCGCGUUGCUGCGGGAUUAAGAAUCGUAUGAAAAAUUAUGUUUGAAAGGUAUAAAAGAUUAUGUUACAAAAGAUUAAAUAUAGAAGAUUGUGUGGGGGUAGAUAAAGGACCCUGUGCCUAAAAGGUGAACCUGUUCAUAAUGGUAGAGAAGGGUUGAGUAGUGCUUUCUCAGCACAAACAAAGCGCUUGUUGAUGUUGGGGAGAACAUGAAAACACUGUUCUCGUCUGAACUGGACAAACAAAAUCAGGAAAUACAAAUUUUAUUUGAGAUAUGAAAAAAAAAGUUACAAAAAGGCAGAAGAAAUAAGGCACAACCAAGUUUACACAACAAAGGCCGAAGAUAAAAAAAUGAAACAAAACUAAAACAUGAUAUAAAAUUUCUUUUUAACAGCCUCUACAUUACAUAGCUAAAAGGUAGCGUUUAAUGAUAAUUAAACACACAGUUCCUCCAUGUUUUUAUAUAAGCUCUUUUCAUAUUUGCAAAUAUAACUUUCAAAACCGAAACUCUCCAAUUUCACACAAAAAAUGUAAAUUUGCAUGGCAAUUACUACAAUUUGAAGCAAAAUUCAAGUUACCCAAUACAAACAAAUGAAACCUGAAAUAAAAAAUCUACACUUUGUAGAGAAAGAUAACAACUUUACCUCCCUUCAUGCACAGUAAUUGAAAUUCCAGCUCAUGGGUUUGUUGGGUGGUGGCGGUGAUUUUGCUGCGAGAGAGAAUUGGGGAAAAUGGACCAAAAUGUCAGUAAAAUGAAGAACAAAAACCACUAAUCAUACAAUCCAAAUUCAGUUUUCGAUUAGCAUUUUUCCAAAAGAAGGCAAUCAAUUGCUAACACAUGUACAAAAUCAGAGUCCGAAAACUAAAAAUCAAGCAAGUCAAGGAGCGGAAGCGGAUGACAGUGGACGACACAGAAGUUUUUAGAGAAGAUUAAAUUAUAUAAUCUGGAAAAACAAAUAAAGCAGCCAAUCAGAAGUUAAAUAAAUAGAAAGAAAAAAGGGAAAAAAAGACAACCUGAAUUCAAAGUGUUCCACAUGCUGUAUUCAAAAUUGAUUAAGCACCGAUUACAUAUCUAAAAUUGACAUCAACUCACCUUAACACUUCAUUUUCUAUAUUCUAUUGGGUUCGACCCAACCCUAAAACUAAUAAAAAGAAAGGGGAAACUUUCUUUUCAUUUUUACCAUACCAAUCUGUGUAUUUUUCUCUGUCAGUAUGCCUUGACUUCUGGGUCCCUGUAUAGACCUACUUUAUUACCCUCUCUCUCUCCAGCUUUCCUUUUAAAUAGGUUAUCAUAUACCCAUGCUCACUUUCACCCAACAGCAAAAGAAACAGAGGAGAAAGGAAGACACCACAUUUAAUUAAUUCAUGAUUUUGUCUAAUUUGCUUUGAUUGAACUGGAAAGCAUCAAAAGAAGGUCAUACAUUAUCAGCAGAUGGUCAUGUAGUGCAGCUCAGUUCUUCAAAUCAUUAAAAACAUCCUACUUUAUUUCAAUUGGUUUGGUUGUCCAACUUAGUUGGAUACCAAACAUACAUGUCUCUUACACUCAGUUCUAAGACCACAACUCAAUCACGAUAACAGGAAAAAUAUCAAACCCAAACAGAAACUCACAUUUCAAUAUAAUCAAAAUGCAAACGAAAUACCAAACUGAACUCCAAUUAUAAAAAACUAAACUAAAUUAUAAAUUGAAAACUUUGAAUUGAAUAACCCCAGAAGUUUAAAUUGCUUACCUUGAGCACAGAAACAAACGCCAUCAAAUCUGAAAAACCUACGAAUCGAAAAUCACAAAAACACCAAAAACUAAAACAUGGGAUCACAUUUUCUAAGCUACCAAACAGAAAAAAUCUAAAAAAUAUGGCCAAAAUAAAAACUCACCUUGAUGCCCUGUGGAUCAGCAACCAUGGUUGGAGAAAAAGAGAGAAGGAAGCUGUUCUAAAGGUGACUGAGUAUCAGGUUCCGAGUGGGAGGUGAAAUCGAAAUUUCAAUCCAUUUGUAAAUCCAAAAUCACAAAACCCCAUAUUUGAACAAAACAAAACCCCCAAGAUGAAAGACUUGAAAAACUUACCAGGAAACCCUAGCUUUUCUGGGCAAGAAAUUCCUUCAAAUCAAUCUAAAAAACUGAAGAAGCUCACCUGAGUUUAAUAAAAAUCGAAAUUUAAGCAACUUUCUCACCUGGAAACGUUGGAUUAGAUGAGCCCAGAAAUUCCAAUCGAAACCAAAUUGGUACAAAUUUCUGAAACCAAAAACCGAACCACAUCAAAUAUUAAAAAUUCUGCUUAUUUCAUAGCCAUCCCCCAUCGGAUUCACAAUACAAAUAAAGAUGGCAAAUAAAAAUUCUGCUUAUUUCACCAAACGAUCAAGAAUUCCAAGAAUCUUUUCUCGAAUGAUUCCCAUCAAUCCAAACGCAAAAAUCUGCUUAGUUCUCUUAAAACCAAAAGAAAAUAUUAGGGUUUCUUAGUUUCUUACCCAAAUCCACCAAAUUGAAUAAAAUCUCUGUAGCCGAGCUUCAAAUCCGUCUCAAAUCGCCUCCACGAACACGAUUUUUGGAAGAUUGGAAACGCAUAAAGAGGCAUGCCCUGUAUUUUUUGCACUUUGAAACGCAAUCCACCUUCUCCUAUUGACCCCUCACAGACUUCUUCGAGUAACCUGCAGAGAGAAACAAUACCCAUUAUACAUUUUUUUAGAUGGAUUUUAGAAAGAGAAGAGCGACAGAAGGAGUUCGAGUGCGACGGAAGCAGAGAUUUGAGAGAGAGACAGAGAGAAGUGAACACAAAUGGAAAAACGUGGAAUGAAGUAGAAGAGUCGAGAAACAGAAGGUGAAGCGAUGAGAGACGCGUGGCCAGAAAGGGUAAAUCCGACACUUCGCUGUACAGAAACGUGAUGGAAACAGCUAGAGAAACAGAGGAAAAACGGAGGGGCAAAAACGUCCACACACUGGUCAUCCACAGUGACCAGGGGGUUUGAGUUUUAGUAUAUAUGAUAUCCCACAUGCCCCCCAAAACCACACACCCCCUCCCCGGGGCGGCGGCGAAGUCCAUAUCUCAGCAACCCCCGUCCAAAUCAUCUUCCAUCCGUUGUGCGCACCCAUCCUCCACCUCCUCCGUACACCCAUCUUUACAUCUUCCGCUCCCCCAACCUGAGCCCAACCUGCAAACCUAGAAAGAAGGGAAAAAAAAAAAACCCAGCGCAUCCACCCUCGGCCUUAAAUCCACACUUAUUGGGGAAGACAGGAUCUGGGUUGUAGGGAAAGGGAGAUGGGUUUUUUUUUUCUUUUCUGGGUUGCAGGUAGUGGUGCGGAGGAGGAGGUGGAGGAUGGGUGCACGGUGGGUUUGGGGAAGACGGAAGGGGGAAGAAAAGGGUGGGUUGCAAGGAAAGAGGGUCAUGGAAGAUGAUGGGUGUUUUUUUUUCCCUCUCCUCUUCUUCUUCUUCUUCUUCUGGUUGCAAGUUGGGGGGGUGCGGGUUCAACUUUUGUUUUUGGUUUUUGGUUUUUUUUUUUUUUUUUUAAUUGAGAAUAUUCAGGUUUUUUUUUUAAAUUAAAAAAAAAAAUUUUGCCAUGUGGCACAAAUAUGACAGUCACGUCAACACUUAACGGAUUAAUGGAUGAAAAAUGUAAUGGAUGUAUUAUUUUGAAAUAAAAUAGUACGUGAGGUAUGAAAGUGAAAUGUUUUAAAGAUGUUGUAUAGGGUUGUAAUAGAACUCAAACCUGAGGGGCUAAUAUGUAAUUUACCCUAAUAUUAUCCUAAACCAAUAAGGAUUUCUCUAUUAAAACCCAAAUAGAAAACUGAAUCCGUUCCCUUAGGUACCGUUUGGUACGUGGGACGGGACGGGACGGAACGGAACGAGCCAUUCCGUCCCACGUUUGAUGCGCCUAAAAACUGUGAAACGGGUUGUCCCAUGGGACGAAAUUUGGCUGAUUUUUCGUUCCACCUCUUCCCCCUGGAACGACCCGUUCCACAUCCGUGAAACACAAAUUUAUAACAUUUUAUGACAAAACUUCUCCUUAUCUUUUUCAAUAUUUACAUCAUCCGUUCCGUCCCGUCCCGUCUCGUCCCGUCCCGUCCCGUUCCGUUCCGUCCCGUUCCGUUCCGUUCCGUCCCGUCUGCGUACCAAACGGUACCUUAUGAAACAAGUUCCAAUUACAAGAACGCCAAUUGCAAUCAAUCAAUCCAACAAUCUGCACAUCAAUAAUCAUGUUGAAUCUUGAUGGUCUCCAUGAUUCUGUGUUGGUUGAAAUCCUCGGUCAUCUCCCCUACGAAUCCGUAGUGCAAUGCAUGUGUGUGUCCAAACGUUGGUACAAUCUCGUUUUUAAUCCUUAUUUUCUUAGCCGCUUUUCUUGUGUCCAACUCCAAACCGACAGUCAGACCCCCGCUACGCGCACCAUGAUCGUCACAAAUCCAAAGAACCCUAGCAAUUUCUUUUCCAUGUCGUCCGAGCAACCUCUUGGCCCAACAAAAUUCCGUAACUUCUCUUUGAGUUUCCUCCCUUGUUUCCAAGGGCCUCCUGUCGUCAGCACUAGUACCGAUGAAUUUGAACCAGGACCCACUGUGCUAGCAUCAUAUAACGACCUACUUUUAUGCUGCGCAACCAUGUUUUCUCAACGUGAUUACUGUUGGAAUCCAGUAACACAACUAUACAAAAUAAGUCUAACAGGAUUUGAGAGAGAUAUUUAGAAAGAUUUAGAAGAUGAAAUCACAGAGAGAGCACACACACAGAGCAUAACCUUUCAGCUUCCUCAGUAUAUUUCAUACAGGGCAUAACAACCCGAAGAGACAUUUUUAACUGAUGACAAAGAAGAGAGAGAGAGACAUAACCUCAAUUCAAUCUCAACCAACCAUUACAACCUAUCUUAAGAUCAAAACACUUGUCAAAUGAUAAGCCCUAUGAGACUUGAUCAACACACCACAAUUUUACACAAUAGCUCAGCCUAUGAGCUGAGACAUGACACACAUAACAAUCUUGUAAUGUGUACUAAUCAGCUCAACAACUUACAUACUAACAUUCCCCUUUAAGUUGUGAACUGAUUUCACUCCAAGUAGAUUUCUCAAGUAAGUGAACUGCUCCCUUGCCAAUGCUUUUGUAAAGAUAUCUGCUAGUUGCUCCUUUGUAGGACAGUGAAUCAAAUCAAUUACUCCUUGCUGUAAUGCUUCCUUUAUGAAGUGAUAUCUUCGGUUUAUAUGCUUAGUCUUCUGAUGAAAGAUGGGAUUCUUGGUGAUGGCAAUGGCAGAUGUAUUGUCACAAUUCAUUGGUGUUGCAACAGUUUGCAUUUCACCAAAAUCCUCUAGAACAAAUCUCAACCAAGUAGCCUGUGCUGUUGCUUCAGAAGCACUGAUAUACUCUACUUCGGCUGUGGAUAAUGCAACACAUUGUUGCUUGACUGAAGACCAAGAGAAAAUCCCAUUUCCAAAAGUAAAAGCAUACCCGGAUGUGCUUUUCAUGUCAUCCUCUGAGCCACUCUAGUCACUAUCACAGUAUCCCAUUAAGAGUGUUCCUUCACCUUUCUUGUAUUCCAAACCAAAAUCAAGAGUUCCUUGAACAUAUCUCAAUACUCUUUUUGCUGUUCCAAAGUGCUUGUUAGUGGGACAAUGCAUAAACCGAGCUAGGAGACAAGCAGCAUACAUUAUAUCAGGUCUAGUUGCUGUGAGAUACAGCAGACUACCUACAAUCUGUCUAUACUGAGCUUCAUCUGCAUUUCCACUUCCAUCUUCUCUUCUCAGUUUAUCACUUGGAACCAAAGGAGUACUCACUGAUUUGCAAUUCUGUAGUCCGAACUUCUUCAGAAGAGAUAAAGCAUAAUUCCUCUGAUGAAUGAAGAUACAUUCCUCAGUUUGGAUUACCCCCAUACCAAGGAAAUGGUGUAAAAGACCAAGAUCUGUCAUCUCAUACUUAUACAUCAUUUCAGCUUUGAAAACAUCCAUUAACUCUUGACAAUUUCCAGUAUAUAUAAUAUCAUCAACAUAGAUGGAUACUAUGAUCAAUUCUGUGUCUCCCUUGUACUUGGUGUACAGAGUUGCCUCACUGAUGCUUUUCUUAAAUCCACAAAGCAUAAGGUAUAAAUCUAUUUCACCAUACCAGGCCCUAGGUGCCUGUUUUAGACCAUACAAAGCUUUAUGUAAUCUGUAAACCUUUUCUUCCUCUCCUUGCACUACAAACCCAUCUGGCUGUUCAACAUAUACUUCCUCUUCUAAUACUCCAUUCAGAAAAGCUGAUUUCACAUCUAGUUGAAAUAACUUCCAUUUAUUCUUUGCUGCCAGUGUAAUUAGAGUUCUAACUGUGUCUAAUCUUGCAACAGGUGCAAAAGUCUCAUUAAAAUCAAUUCCGGGCUUUUGUGCAUAGCCUUUUGCAACAAGUCUAGCCUUGUUCUUUUGAACUAUUCCAUCCAAAUUCAGCUUUGUUUUAUACACCCAUUUCACCCCAAUCACAGGCUUAUCUGAGGGUCUUCUCACCAACUCCCAUGUCUGAUUUUUUUCGAUCAUAUUCAUUUCAUCCUUCAUUGCCUUUUUCCAAGCUUCAUCCUGUGCAGCUUCAUUAAAGGAUUCAGGUUCAACAAUACAUAAGUGACAUCUCUCAUAGAUCUCACUCAAGUUCCUAUACCUCAGUGGAGUAUCAUCAUACUGAGCAGAGACCUGUGAGCUACUUGAUUCACCAAUAGCAGUAGCUGGAGAACUUCCAGCUUGAAUUUGAGACCCAUCAGAUCCUUCUUGUUCAUGAGAUUCAGACAUCUCAUCAAUUUUAUCCAACUCUGAAGACUCAACUGCAGAUAAAGGAAUACAGACUUCCUUGACUUUGUGUUUCUCCCAGUCCCAUCUACCAUGUUCAUCAAAAAUUACAUCUCUAGAUAACAAGACCUUUUGAGUUAAAGGAUUCAGUACCCUAUACCCCUUUUCACAGGUACCAUAUCCAAUGAAAACACCCAUGACACUUGUUUCUUCUAAUUUGUGUCUUAGAUUCCCUGGAAUAAGAGAAUAGCAAACUGAACCAAACACCUUCAAGUGUUUAACCCCAGGUUUUCUUCCACUGAAUUUCUCAAAAGGUGUAGUAUUCUUCACUGCUUUUGUAGGACUCCUGUUAAGCAGAUACACAGAUGUGUUUACUGCUUCACACCAGAGAUUGUUGGGAAGUUCUUUCUCAAAGAUCAUGCACUUUGCCAUCUCUACAAUUGUCCUGUUUUUCCUUUCUGCUACUCCAUUUUGCUGUGGAGAGUAUGCAAUUGUGAGCUGUCUUUCUAUCCCCAAAUCUUCACAAAAUUUUCCAAACUCAUUUGAAUUGAACUCUCCUCCUCUAUCUGUUCUUAGCUUCUUUACAUAAUAUCCACUUUGAAGCUCAACCAUGGCUUUAAAUUUCUUAAACACAUAGAAAGCCUCUAAUUUGUUUUUCAAGAAAUAUACCCAGCACAUUCUUGAAAAAUCAUCUAUGAAGGUAAUAAAGUAUCGGUUGCCACUCAAACUUGAUGUUUGCAUAGGACCACACACAUCCGAGUGUAUUAGUUCAAGUGGUUCCUUUGCUCUCCACAUUGAUUCUUUGGGAAAUGGUUCCCUGUGAUUUUUCCCCAGUGCACAACUUUGACAUACAGUUUCACUGUCUUGGAUUUCAGGCAGCCCCAAAACCAUCUCUUGACUCUGUAACAGUUUGAGACUUCUGAAAUUUAGAUGACCGAACCUCUUGUGCCACAUUCUAACACACUCCUGCACAUUUGUCCUCAAUGCAAGCUCCUUGUUUGUGUUGAGGAUUAAGGGAAAACAUCUAUUUCCUCUCUGUUUCACACUGACCACCAGGUUUUGUAAGGAUCUAUCAUCGAACACAUCCACUUUAUAAUCUCCAAAUAAAAGAAAGUAACCGUGCUCAGUCAUUUGUCCCACACUUAACAAAUUUUCUGUAAGACCAGGUACAAGCAUAACUUCUUUUAUAUAUCUUCGACCUUUUACAGUUUCAAUGAUCAGUGUUCCCUUCCCUUCAACUUCAACCAAAACUACAGUGCCAACUUGGACUUUUGCUUUCACUUUCCUGUCAAUAUCAACAAGUAGAUCUUCUCUGGAUGUCAUAUGGUUACUACAUCCACUAUCUAUAUACCAUUCAUCACUUAUCUUCCUCACUUCUCCAGAAUGAUUUGCAUAAAACAAAUUUCCAGUUUCUUCAACCUGAUUAGCAAAGUUCACAUGCUGCACAGUCUUGUUCAUAUUACAAUACCUUGCAAUAUGCCCAAUUUUGUUACACUUGUGACACUUGACUUUGUUUUUAACCCAACACUCUCCAUAGUGAAGUUUAUCACAGAAUUUACACUUAUCUCCAGUAUUGUUUGCCUCAUUCUUCACAGUGAAUCCACCCUUAUUGCUCCAAUCACCCUUGUUACUCCAUUGUUUCUCUUUUGGCUUAAAAUUCUUGUGAUAUUUGUUACUGUUUGGCUGACCAUUGAAUUUAUUAGACCUCGGGACAAAUUUCAAACUGGCAAAUGCUUUCUCCAUACUACUCUCUCCAUGUCUAUCCAACCUUUGUUCAUAACCUUUUAAGAUAGCUACAACAUCCUGUGCAUCUAUGGUGUCUAAAUCCUUAGUAUUCUCUAUCACUGCUGCAAUACUAUCAUAGGACUUACGUAAACUGAUUAACAAUUUCUGAACAACUCUCUGAUUACUCAGAUCUUCACCAUAGCUCUUCAUUUGAUUAAUCAGAUCAAACAACUUAGCAAUAUACACAGAGAAAGAGAUUCACUAUCAUUCAUGCGAGUAUAUUCAAAAUCUCGCGCCUAAAGACCUUGAAGUUUCACAGAUCUUACUUGUUUAUCACCAACGAACUCUUGUUUCAGAAUGUCCCACGCAGCCUUCGCACUUUCCUGAGUUGCAAUCCUCGGGAAAAUUUGGUCUGAAACUGCUCCUUGAAUAAUACCCAGUGCCCUAGCAUCCUUAACUACAUUCUCACGCAGCAGCUUCCUCUCCGCCUCUGUGAGUUCCUCCUCCUUCGCCGGAGCUCUGUACCCACUCUCGACCAUAUUCCACAGUUCAUACGAGCGAAAGAUGGUCUUCAUUUUGAUUUGCCAGAAAUCAAAAUUCUCACCAUUGAAAAUUGGUGCCCGGAGUUCUCCUCCUCCAGAUCCAGCCAUAUUAGAUACUCGAAUCACCGCAAUAAGCUUUUGCUGUGAAUCCGAGCUCACCCACUCGUAGAAACAACGCCCAUAAGUUUAGAUCGAACUCGGCUCUGAGGCCAUGUUGGAAUCCAGUAACACAACUAUACAAAAUAAGUCUAACAGGAUUUGAGAGAGAUAUUUAGAAAGAUUUAGAAGAUGAAAUCACAGAGAGAGCACACACACAGAGCAUAACCUUUCAGCUUCCUCAGUAUAUUUCAUACAGGGCAUAACAACCCGAAGAGACAUUUUUAACUGAUGACAAAGAAGAGAGAGAGAGACAUAACCUUAAUUCAAUCUCAACCAACCAUUACAACCUAUCUUAAGAUCAAAACACUUGUCAAAUGAUAAGCCCUAUGAGACUUGAUCAACACACCACAAUUUUACACAAUAGCUCAGCCUAUGAGCUGAGACAUGACACACAUAACAAUCUUGUAAUGUGUACUAAUCAGCUCAACAACUUACAUACUAACAAUUACUACAUCUGCAAUCCGUACACCAAGCAAUGGGAUGCCCUUCCUCCCCCUCCUCAAUGCUACGACCUCGUAAAAGUUGGACUCAUCUGCAAUCCCGGCAAUCAGCUGGGAGUGCUUAACAAUGAAUACAGCUACAGGGUUGUGCGAAUAAUUAUUCCUCCAUCUCCAGUGUAUCCUUCCAAGCAAUUUAAAGUACAUAUUUUUGCUUCCGAGAAUCGUACGUGGACAGAAACUGUUGUAUCAUCCCCAAGAGAAUUUAAUGUUGCUAGUUUGCUUUCAAUGGGUGCAGCGUUUGGUUACGAUGGAAUGUUGUACUUCGGGGGCAGUUGUGGCUUGAUUGGUCUGGAACUCUACUCCAGCAAUAUCAAUGCUACUAGUACUAUUCAUUGCCGUUUCAUUGAUUUACCUGAAGAUAAGGCCAAUGUCAUGGAUUUGCCUGAAGAUGAUCAGGUCAAAUUCGUUGACUUACCUGAAGAUGUAUAUCACUUUCGGACUUUGUACACCUGGGUGCCAGUAAAGCUGGAACUGGAAGAGGAUUUAGUAUGCGGAUGUGCGAAUCCUUUGGACAUUUUAAGAAUGGACACUGUUACCAUGAUGGUGUGGGUGUUUGGGAUUACUUUGAAGACAAGGGAAGCAAACGUUGGUGUUUAGUAGACAUAGUUCCCCUCAACUGGGUACGUCGUCAAUGCCCAUCGAUCACGGAUUUUAGUUGUAAGUAUAAGGUCCACGUUGACAACUAUACAAGGGUACUCGGUUUUGACCUAUAUAAUGAAGAUAUCUUGUAUCUAGAAUUUUGUCAGCACCUCCUCAUGUACAACGUUGGCGCGAAAACCCUAACGCAGGCUUGGAGAACUGAUCUGUUUAGUUAUGGUGAUGUUAUGCCCGGAGGAACUGUCUUCCCGUAUGUAAUCCCACGCUGGCCAACACUAGUUCUUGGACACAAACAGCGGGAUGAGGGCUCUAGUUCAUGUCAUGUAGCGGAAAAGGUUAGUGUUUCUGCCGCUGCUAUAGCCACAAGCAAAGCAGACCAAGCUCAAGCUCAACAAGGUCGGGACUUGAAGAGAUUGUUGCAAAUGGAAAAGGUGGUACAAAGGAACAUAUGAGCAAACGCCGUCGCCCUGCAGCUAAUUCAAAAGCAAGUAAAAAGAGGAAAGCGAAUGAGGCAAGUGGAUGAAAGGCAAAGUGCGGCAACCGAUCUGAAAUUAAAUCUACCAACUGAUUCAUAAUAUCCCCAGUUUUCCCUUCAAUUUUCCAUAGGUAUUUUCAUGUCUAUUUAUCUUAUCAAUUUCAUUUUUAUAUGAAAAUAAUUUAUCACUCAUCGGAUUUGUUAGUUUUCACGUUAGUUAUCACACUAUUUGCAUGUAUUUAAUGUAUUUAAGGAGAGUUUUUGCAUACAAGUAACUAUAGGCUAAAAUAAAUAUGUGCAUAGUCUCAUCUAUUUAGAUUUUACUGGAUUACAUCUUUACUUGUCAAAUCUAUUUCUAUUCCAAUGUUUCUUUUUUUAUCUGCGUUAUUUUCAUAUCAAUCAAAAUGGCAUUUGGAUAAUACUAACCAAUGUUAUUAUAUAUCACAAUCAUGCAUGCACAUGAGUAACCAAUGUUAAAUGAACAUAAAAACCCAUUCAUGCAAAACAAGCAACAAUUAUGAAGUAACACCUAUGUAAUGCCAAUUCGGAAUUGAUGACAAAAUUAUAGCAACCAAACCUAAACUUGUUUUAAGAUUGUUGGAAAAAUUGGGUCUAAUUGCUAUAAUAAAUCACAUAGAAAAUCAAGAAAUAACUCAUGCAAUUAUAUAUCACAAUAAUGCAUGCACAUGAGUAACCAAUAUUAAAUGAACAUGAUAUAAUGGAUUAGAAAAACCUAGAAAAUACAGUCGAGGCAAGUGUUGGACACUUUGUCCUUAAGACAAGUUUACGCCCCACUACGGUGCUCAUGGUUGAUCGGCGCAUGUCUCCCAAGAUACAACGACCACGUCCUUAUAAUAGUAGCACUCCAAAUCACAAGGCUCCAUGAACCACGAUUGUGUUGAAAACUCUCUCAUAUGGACUGAAUGAGACUCUCUAAUAUUUAGUGCACUCUAUGUAUGAUUAUGUAAACAAUGCAAAGUUUUUUUUUUUCUUUUUUUUCUUUUUUUUGUGAUUAUAGGGGGCUUCCCUAUUUAUAGAAUGUGAGAUGUUUCUUUGGAAAACAUGUGACUAUUGUGGAUGCAAAUUUUCUCCUCCUCGAUCUUGGACGAUUUUGCACCUACAAAACAACUAGCACCUUAGGUUAAGGCCAAAAGCCUCACGCGCCCACGAUGAAUGGGGGGGGCUUUGGCCGAAGAACCUCCGAUGCCAAAGUUAGAAUUUUAGAGAGAAAUAGUGUUUAGAGUAUUUGUGAUUUUUUGUAAGAGAAUUGGAAUGAAUUUUUGGUGAGAAUAGGUGCCUAUUUAUAGAGUUAGGGCUUGACCAAUUUUGAAUAAAAGUAACCAGCCACUAAAGGUUUUUUGUGGGGUUCAAUUUCAUGUUUAAUUAGACAAUUUAUUGGCUUAUUAAAUAUGAAAAGAAUAAAUGGGUGGUUAUAAAAAUGAAUGACUAUUUUAAUAAGGAAAAUGGGAAAGGUGAGGAUGGGAAUGGUGGUGGCCGGUUUUGACUAUCAAUUUGGGUGAUUUUAUUGACUAUUAAGGAUGAUUUUAGGAGAUAUGGUAGGUAUAUAUUAUUUAGCUAAUUGAUUAGCUAAAUAAUGAAAUAGAAAAUACUAGGUUUUGGGAAAUACCUUAUAGAAAGGAUUUGAUGAAAGAGGUUUUUAAUUGUUACCUUUUUUGGGCACUUUUGACUUGAUUGAAAGAUGAUUGCCCGCUGCUCGCGCAUAGAAAUCCUGGUAUGCCUCAAGGGUAUUUUUGUCCUAUUUUGUCCAAAAGUCCACGUGUCGCCUAGUAAAUAUUUUUGACUCCACAACUAUUCAUGAAGAGUAAAAAAUUGCAACUCUUCAUUUGAGUAGACACAUCUUUCUACCAAAAGGCUCCACUUCUAAUUUCCAUUCAAUUAAUAAAUUUAAUAUAAUAAUAUUAUUAUUAAAUUUUCCAACAAUCCCCCACAUGAAUGGAAAUUGACUCAAUACCAUGCAAAUGACAAUGCAGACACUAGAGAGAUAAUUUAGUAGGAAAAGUAUCACAUCAGGAUAGGUGGCUUUUGGCUUUGAACCUUCCGUAGUGAAUUACUAUCGGAUUUACUUGGCUAAUCAGUGAACGCGAUAUCUUGAACUGCUCAGCCAUUUGUGUAAACCAAGACAAUAGUAAUCACACGGUACCCUUCCAAACACCCCAUGGUUGCUCGAUUGUGUUCAUUUUGGCCCUGAACAAUUAUUGGUUUCUCAUGAGUGCUUUUAAAGAACUGAGCCCUACAAAAAAUUCUCACAUGAACGGCCCCAUUCCUCACUCAAGAUAGAUGACUUCCCAUUAAGAGUAUCCUGCAAUACCCCACUUGUUAUUUCCAAAUAUAGGAAUCAUUAAAAGCAAAGUUUAUCCUAAAUACGCUGCAGACAACACUGUUUCAUCAUAGGACAUGGGUAAAACGUAAUCUCCGCAAUGCUCCCAUUGAAUCAUCCACAAUUCGGUUGUCCCCUUGAACCUAGAUCUUGGGAUCUCCAGUCAGCUAGGUUGGGUUGCCAUUAUGGCGAUUCUUAAGACGUGGGCUUUUAACCCAUUCCCCUCGAUGAUACAACUUAUUCUCUAGUCAAACCCUUAAUUAAUUGGAUCCACUAGAGGUUGAUGACUAUCAGUUAAAGUGCGCACUUCCAUUUAUGAAAUUAUAUUUCAUUCAAGAGUAGUUGUUUUCCAACAUUAAGUCCUUCAAAACAUAUGUUAGGACUUAAAAAGUAAUUUGCUAAUACUCAGGGUACAUUCCCCCACAUUUAAGGUAUUUGCUAGAAGAUCUCCAACCUUUCAAUACCUUAAAAUUACCAUUAUAAGAAAUGACAUUUUGAUUGUCUCAUUCAAUUAGCACAUUAUAUUUCCAUUCUUCUUAAAUAAAUCUCAUAUCUCAAAAUUAGAUAAGUUACCUCCACAAUUCUUUGAUAAUUGUGGUUAAUUUAACGUCAUUGUUAAAUCGAUCACGUUUUUUUUUUUUUUAUGAAGUAGGAAACAACUAAGACAGACCUUAUAUAUCUAUCUUCUUAGGCCUUCAUGCCUCACUGGCCAUUAUGGAAAAAGCACUUCUUGGCUUUCAUCCCUUCCGCACUCUGACUAACAUACACGACCCAAUGGCCAUGUCCAUUAAUAUGCUUACUUAAUAAGUAUCAUUAUGCAUGUCUAAUACAAUUAUGCGAAAUGCUCCGCACAUUUUUAGUGUCGUCUUUUCCUUUGUGAAAGACCCCCACAAUUUCAAGAUUAUUUCUCUACUGAUAUCAUUUUGAAUAACACUCAAUAAUAUUCAUUUUCUCCAUGGCAAAUGCAUCACUCUCCUCGGCAAAGAAGCAAAACACAUGAACUAAAUGCUUCUCAAGAAAUCUUCCAGAAAGUUAAGUGAUAUAUGACUACAGUCAUAUAAGUCAUAUAAUUGUUCGUAAUAGUAUGAUGAUAUCAUUCUAGGCCUCUUGAAAUUGAUGAAUUAAUCUCUUCGAAGAAAUCAGAUAAAUGAUUUUGCAACAUUAUUAUCACUAUAUGAUAAUACAUCCAGUCGGUAUGUAGAAGUUUACAUACCAACCCAUGAACACGUAUUCAAAUUUAAGAAUGGCAAUGACUAGUUGGAAAGGUCGUACCCUUUCACUGUCAAAAGUAGCACUUCAAAUGGCAUGCUUUUUGCUUGGAAUCUCAUAUGGCAGAUUCCACCUUUUGGUUCCACCACCUUACAGAAACUAUUCAUUUGUCAAUUAAUUGCAUCUUUUUGCAUCUUAACCGCUACAUGGUUCUAAAUGUCCCAAAAUUCUUGACUCAAAUGAAUAUAGAACCGUCAAGCCGCGGUCUUACCGAUUUCUCUUUUAUCUAGAAUCUCCAACUGGUCAAUUGUGAUGGAGUUUUACAUAUACCAUAUAUAUUUUACAGAACACCCAAUGAUUCGUUUCAGGACUUCACACAUAUGAAUACAACAAAUCAAGGUAUGCAUCUAACUGUCAUACUAAUUUCACACCAUUCUCAUCCCGUGUCAGUUGUCUUAGUGUUGCACACAUGAGGCUUUGAAACAUGUAAUUCUUUCCCAGAAGAUUAGUGCAUGCACAAAAUAAAAGGGAACUAUUAUAUUAAAGCAACAACUCCCCAUGCGUAUACAAGAUGAAUAUAUACACAGACCAAAUACAGUUCAACACCAUAGUUUUUCAAUAUAUCAUCAUGCCUUAUGACAUUUUCAUUUCUGAAAUGAUAAAACCUUAACAGUUAUUGAGUUCCAAACCGUUUGACAUGCAAAACAACAUGAUCCAUUGUCCAAAUGAAUGUAUUAUGGCGAAAUUACCAUUCAAAACUAUGUUAAAACACCAAUCCAAACUAUUAUAAGAGAUACGUAUAUUCAACAGUACGCAAAACCCAUCAAAUGUAAGCAACCGUGUAACUUUUCAAUCAAAGCAAAUGGCAAUUCAUUCAUCUACUAAAUGAAUAUAUCUAAAACUGAUUGUCAAAAAGAAACGAACCUAAGUUUCUUAAUAUAAGUACUUUGUGAAUCACGUAUAGCAAAUAAACCUAUAAACUUGUCUUAAGAUUGUUGGAAAAAUUGGGUCUAAUUGCUAUAAUAAAUCACACAAAAAAUCAAGAAAUAAUUCAUGAAAUUAUAUAUCACAAUCAUGCAUGCACAUGAGUAACCAAUGUUAAAUGAACAUGAAAAACCCAAGCAUGCAAUCAUGCAAAACAAGCAGCAAUUAUGAAGUAACACCUAUGUAAUGCCAAUUCGGAAUUGAUGACAAAAUUAUAGCAACCAAACCUAAACUUGUCUUAAGAUUGUUGGAAAAAUUGGGUCUAAUUGCUAUAAUAAAUCACAUAGAAAAUCAAGAAAUAAUUCAUGCAAUUAUAUAUCACAAUAAUGCAUGCAUAUGAGUAACCAAUGUUAAAUGACAUGAACAUGGAUAUAAUAGAUAGAAAAACCUAGAAAAUACAGUCGAGGCAAGUGUUGGACACUUUGUCCUUAAGACAAGUUUACGCCCCACUACGGUGUUCAUGGUUGAUCGGCGCAUGUCUACCAAGAUACAACGAUCACGUCCUUGUAAUAGUAGCACUCCAAAUCUCAAGGCUCCAUGAACCACGAUUGUGUUGAAAACUCUCUCAUAUAGACUGAAUGAGACUCUCUAAUAUUUAGUGCACUCUAUGUAUGAUUAUGUAAACAAUGCAAAGUUUUUUAUUUUUUUUGUGAUUAUAGGGGGGGCUUCCCUAUUUAUAGAAUGUGAGAUGUCUCUUUGGAAAACAUGUGACUAUUCAUGAAGAGUCAAAAGUUGCAACUCUUAAUUUGAGUAGACACAUCUUUCUACCAAAAGGCUCCACUUCUAAUUUCCAUUCAAUUAAUAAAUUUAAUAUAAUAAUAUUAUUAUUAAAUUUUCCAACAGUUCAUUAGUAAUAUCGACAUCAUACAUAUAUUGUGAAUAGGUGCUUAUUGCAGUAGUGGAUUCUUAUGUUCAUAACUCGGAGCAAUGCUUUAGAAUUUUGGCAUGGGAAAUAAGGGACAACUUUGGGGGUUUCGGGCACUCAAAUAAAAAGGCCAUACCAUACGUACCCAGCUUCUAUUCCAUAGUUGCAUUUCUCUCCCGGUGUCCUAAAUUGAUGCCUCUAAUUCCCUAUCUAGUAAGGCCCUUGCCUCCCGCUACAGAAAAUAGAUCUCUACUCGACUGCCAACAACCGACUGUUAGAAAGAACUCCAGAUGAAGGUGGAGUUAGGAGAUUCAAACAUGUUGUAGUAGUUGGAUGUGUCAUGGUUGGUAAUUUAUAUAACAAGACACUCGAGUCUAAAACACUGUACGGGAUGAGUGAGGCCUUUGUGGAUUUUGGAGUAUGAAUUCACGAGAAUAGAGGUAUGAAUAAGGGAACAUUCAUGCAUCAUCAAGGGACCAUUGCUUCUAAUUUCUCGUUGCUUUUCAACUUUAGCCGGUGUUAUCUCCAUGAACUACAUACUAAGGGCUGAUUUGGUAUUGCUGUGCUUUGAAAAAAAGCUGCUGUGAGAAUAAGCGGCUGUGAAAUAAAUCAGCAGAGUGUUUGGUAAACUUUUUUGUAAAAGUGCUUUCGAAAAAAAAAAGCAGUCUGAUAGUGGGUCUUUUCAUUAAAGGAGCACUGUAGCUCCGUGUGCUUUGAAAAAAAAGCCAGUUUUCCAAAGCUGCAAAUAGCUGCUUCAGCUUUUUCCUUUGAUUUCAGCUUAUUCUCACAGCAGCUUCCAAAAUAAGCCAUUUUUUUUAGUUUACCAAACACCUAAAACCCUCACAGCUUUUUUUCAUGGGUGCUUUUUUUUAAGCACCUCACUCCCA